Rhinichthys klamathensis goyatoka is the source of this 542-nucleotide long non-coding RNA. RefSeq lists it as uncharacterized. The transcript has 5 exons. Lineage: Eukaryota; Metazoa; Chordata; Actinopteri; Cypriniformes; Leuciscidae. The record is from RefSeq and is a predicted model, not a curated record.
GUGUGUGUGUGUGUGUGAGUGAGUGAGCGUGUGUGAGAGAGGAGUGUACAGUGUAUCCGUCGCUGAUACGUGUGUGUGUGUGUGUGUGUGUGAGAGAGGAGUGUACCGUGUAUCCGUCGCAGAUGUGUGUGUGUGUGUGUGUGUGUGUAUUGUACCGUGUAUCCGUCGCAGAUGUGUGUGUGUGUGUGUGUGUGUGUGUGUGUGUGUGUGUGUGUGUGAGAGAGGAGUGUACCGUGUAUCCGUCGCAGAUGUGUGUGUGUGUGUGUGUGUGUGUGUGUGUGAGAGGAGUGUAUCGUGUAUCCGUCGCAGAUGUGUGUGUGUGUGUGUGUGUGUGUGUGUAUGUGUGUGAGAGAGGAGUGUACCGUGUAUCCGUCGCAGAUGUGUGUGUGUGUGUGUGUGUGUGUGUGAGAGGAGUGUACCGUGUAUCCGUCGCAGAUGUGUGUGUGUGUGUGUGUGUGUGUAUUGUACCGUGUAUCCGUCGCAGAUGUGUGUGUGUGUGUGUGUGUGUGUGUGUGUGUGUGAGAGAGGAGUGUACCGUGUAU